Molecule: ribosomal RNA, 483 nt
Filed under: uncultured bacterium
Lineage: Bacteria
Description: partial 16S ribosomal RNA
Rfam family: Bacterial small subunit ribosomal RNA
Source: RNAcentral
GACGAACGCUGGCGGCGUGCUUAACACAUGCAAGUCGAACGAUGAAGCUGGAGCUUGCUCCGGCGGAUUAGUGGCGAACGGGUGAGUAACACGUGAGCAAUCUGCCCUUCACUCUGGGAUAACUGCGGGUAACUGUAGCUAAUACCGGAUACGAAGCCUUGGGGCAUCCCAGGGCUUGGAAAGAAUUUCGGUGAAGGAUGAGCUCGCGGCCUAUCAGCUAGUUGGUGAGGUAAUGGCUUACCAAGGCGACGACGGGUAGCCGGCCUGAGGGGGUGACCGGCCACACUGGGACUGAGACACGGCCCAGACUCCUACGGGAGGCAGCAGUGGGGAAUAUUGCACAAUGGGCGAAAGCCUGAUGCAGCAACGCCGCGUGAGGGAUGAAGGCCUUCGGGUUGUAAACCUCUUUUAGUAGGGAAGAAGCGCAAGUGACGGUACCUACAGAAAAAGCACCGGCUAACUACGUGCCAGCCGCCGCAGUAA